GCCGGGCGUUGUGGCGGGCGCCUGUGGUCCCAGCUACUUGGGAGGCGGAGGCAGGAGACUCUCUUGAGCCCAGGAGUUGGAGGUUGUUGGGAGCAUGAUGCCAUGGCACUCUACUAGGGGGAUAGCUCGGGGCUCCGUCUCAAAAAAAAAAAAAAAAGAAUUUGUUUUUGUCUUUAAGUAUGGGCAUAAUUCAGGGUGUUAGUAAUACAUUUUUUAUUUUUUUUUUAUUUUUAUUUAUUUAUUUAUUUAUUUUGAGACAGAGCCUCAAGCUGUCCCCCUGGGUAGAGUGCCAUGGCAUUACAGCUCACAGCAACCUCCAACUCCUGGGCUCAAGCGAGUCUCCUGCCUCCG
This 351-nucleotide signal recognition particle RNA is filed under the name Otolemur garnettii (small-eared galago). RNAcentral describes it as "Metazoan signal recognition particle RNA". It matches the Rfam family "Metazoan signal recognition particle RNA". From Rfam's summary of the family: The signal recognition particle (SRP) is a universally conserved ribonucleoprotein. It is involved in the co-translational targeting of proteins to membranes. The record is from Rfam by way of RNAcentral. Lineage: Eukaryota; Metazoa; Chordata; Mammalia; Primates; Galagidae.